RNAcentral lists this transfer RNA (60 nucleotides) under Proasellus meridianus. RNAcentral's name for it is "transfert RNA-E(GAA)". The record is from RNAcentral. Lineage: Eukaryota; Metazoa; Arthropoda; Malacostraca; Isopoda; Asellidae.
GCUUUAAUGGUGUAAAACAUGUUAUAAUUUCAUUAUAGAGUAGACAUAAGUCUUAGAGUA